This is a long non-coding RNA of Myotis davidii, 277 nucleotides long. RefSeq lists it as uncharacterized. The transcript has 3 exons. NCBI's taxonomy places the organism in Eukaryota, Metazoa, Chordata, Mammalia, Chiroptera, Vespertilionidae. The record is from RefSeq and is a predicted model, not a curated record.
UCUACUUUGUGCUAAUUCAUUUUCUAGGUGGUGGGUGGAGCAAACUAUUUCAUUGAAUUCGAGGCCAGAGAAACCACAUGUUCCAAGGAAAGUAAUAAAGAGUUGACUGAAAGUUGUGAGAUCAAUAAAGUUGGAGAAAUUCUAAGAUGCACUGCUGAUGUUUAUGUGGUACCUUGGGAGAAUAAAAUUGAGUCUACUGUCAAAUGUCAAUCACCAGGAAAGGAGCAACUUAGAAAUUGCGUGUACAGGGGUCGACCUUGGGAGGCAAGGGCAGAGC